This 245-nucleotide unclassified non-coding RNA is filed under the name plant metagenome. RNAcentral describes it as "partial contains small subunit ribosomal RNA, internal transcribed spacer 1, and 5.8S ribosomal RNA". The record is from RNAcentral.
UCUCCGUUGGUGAACCAGCGGAGGGAUCAUUACCGAGUUUACAACUCCCAAACCCAAUGUGAACCAUACCAAACUGUUGCCUCGGCGGGGUCACGCCCCGGGUGCGUCGCAGCCCCGGAACCAGGCGCCCGCCGGAGGGACCAACCAAACUCUUUCUGUAGUCCCCUCGCGGACGUUAUUUCUUACAGCUCUGAGCAAAAAUUCAAAAUGAAUCAAAACUUUCAACAACAGAUCUCUUGGUUCUG